AGUGAACGCUGGCGGUAGGCCUAACACAUGCAAGUCGAACGGCAGCACAGUAAGCGCUUGCUCUUACGGGUGGCGAGUGGCGGACGGGUGAGGAGUACAUCGGCAUCUACUUUUUCGUGGGGGAUAACGUAGGGAAACUUACGCUAAUACCGCAUACGACCUACGGGUGAAAGCAGGGGAUCUUCGGACCUUGCGCGAUUCAAUGAGCCGAUGUCGGAUUAGCUAGUUGGCUGGGUAAAGGCCCACCAAGGCGACGAGCCGUAGCUGGUCUGAGAGGAUGAUCGGCCACACUGGAACUGAGACACGGUCCAGACUCCUACGGGAGGCAGCAGUGGGGAAUCUUGCGCAAUGGGCGAAAGCCUGACGGAGCAAACCCGCGUGAGUGAAGAAGGUCUUCGGAUCGUAAAGCUCUGUUAUUGGGAAAGAAAAAAAGUGUAAGUACCUCUGCACGUCUUGACGGUACCUAAUGAGAAAGCCACGGCUAACUCCGUG
RNAcentral lists this ribosomal RNA (492 nucleotides) under uncultured bacterium. Its description in RNAcentral is "partial 16S ribosomal RNA". It matches the Rfam family "Bacterial small subunit ribosomal RNA", at positions 29 to 507 of the family's 1533-position model. The record is from RNAcentral.